RNAcentral lists this ribosomal RNA (438 nucleotides) under uncultured bacterium. RNAcentral's name for it is "bacterial SSU rRNA". It matches the Rfam family "Bacterial small subunit ribosomal RNA", at positions 30 to 468 of the family's 1533-position model. The record is from RNAcentral.
AUUGAACGCUGGCGGCAGGCCUAACACAUGCAAGUCGAGCGGUAGAGAGAAGCUUGCUUCUCUUGAGAGCGGCGGACGGGUGAGUAAUGCCUAGGAAUCUGCCUGGUAGUGGGGGAUAACGUUCGGAAACGGACGCUAAUACCGCAUACGUCCUACGGGAGAAAGCAGGGGACCUUCGGGCCUUGCGCUAUCAGAUGAGCCUAGGUCGGAUUAGCUAGUUGGUGAGGUAAUGGCUCACCAAGGCGACGAUCCGUAACUGGUCUGAGAGGAUGAUCAGUCACACUGGAACUGAGACACGGUCCAGACUCCUACGGGAGGCAGCAGUGGGGAAUAUUGGACAAUGGGCGAAAGCCUGAUCCAGCCAUGCCGCGUGUGUGAAGAAGGUCUUCGGAUUGUAAAGCACUUUAAGUUGGGAGGAAGGGCAGUUACCUAAUACGU